UACGGAGGGGGCUAGCGUUGUUCGGAAUUACUGGGCGUAAAGCGCACGUAGGCGGACUGGAAAGUCAGGGGUGAAAUCCCGGGGCUCAACCCCGGAACUGCCUUUGAAACUCCCGGGCUUGAGGUCGAGAGAGGUGAGUGGAAUUCCGAGUGUAGAGGUGAAAUUCGUAGAUAUUCGGAGGAACACCAGUGGCGAAGGCGGCUCACUGGCUCGAUACUGACGCUGAGGUGCGAAAGCGUGGGUAGCAAACAGG
RNAcentral lists this ribosomal RNA (253 nucleotides) under uncultured bacterium. RNAcentral describes it as "partial 16S ribosomal RNA". It matches the Rfam family "Bacterial small subunit ribosomal RNA", at positions 524 to 776 of the family's 1533-position model. The record is from RNAcentral.